RNAcentral lists this unclassified non-coding RNA (242 nucleotides) under plant metagenome. Its description in RNAcentral is "partial contains small subunit ribosomal RNA and internal transcribed spacer 1". The stretch from base 1 to 46 matches the Rfam family "Eukaryotic small subunit ribosomal RNA", at positions 1786 to 1831 of the family's 1831-position model. The record is from RNAcentral.
AAGUCGUAACAAGGUCUCCGUAGGUGAACCUGCGGAGGGAUCAUUACAGAGCUAUCCGCCAUUGAACCCCGGUUAACGGGGUAAGUACUUCCCUCCCAACCCCCUAAUGUUUAUCAUUACCAUGUUGCUUUGGCGGGCCGUCAGGCUCACGCUCGGCUACCGGCUCCGGCUGGUAAGCGCCCGCCAGAGGACCUCAAACCCUGAAUAUUCGUGUCGUCUGAGUAUCAUAUAAUAGUUAAAAG